UGGUGGAGUGAUUUGUCUGGUUAAUUCCGUUAAUGAACGAGACCACUGCCUGCUAAAUAACCCAGUGAGUGAAUCUUCACUGACUGCUGGCUUCUUAGAGGGACGUGCAUUCUAUCGGAUGCAGGAGGAUAGUGGCAAUAACA
This 143-nucleotide ribosomal RNA is filed under the name uncultured eukaryote. Its description in RNAcentral is "partial 18S ribosomal RNA". It matches the Rfam family "Eukaryotic small subunit ribosomal RNA", at positions 1299 to 1458 of the family's 1831-position model. The record is from RNAcentral.